This 499-nucleotide ribosomal RNA is filed under the name uncultured bacterium. RNAcentral's name for it is "bacterial SSU rRNA". It matches the Rfam family "Bacterial small subunit ribosomal RNA", at positions 10 to 507 of the family's 1533-position model. The record is from RNAcentral.
AGUUUGAUCCUGGCUCAGAUUGAACGCUGGCGGCAUGCCUUACACAUGCAAGUCGAACGGUAACGGGCCUUCGGGUGCCGACGAGUGGCGAACGGGUGAGUAAUGUAUCGGAACGUACCUUUCAGUGGGGGAUAACGUAGCGAAAGUUACGCUAAUACCGCAUAUUCUGUGAGCAGGAAAGCAGGGGAUCGCAAGACCUUGCGCUGAUUGAGCGGCCGAUAUCAGAUUAGCUAGUUGGUGAGGUAAAGGCUUACCAAGGCGACGAUCUGUAGCGGGUCUGAGAGGAUGAUCCGCCACACUGGAACUGAGACACGGUCCAGACUCCUACGGGAGGCAGCAGUGGGGAAUUUUGGACAAUGGGGCAACCCUGAUCCAGCCAUGCCGCGUGAGUGAAGAAGGCCUUCGGGUUGUAAAGCUCUUUCGGCCGGGAAGAAAUCGUAUGGGUUAAUACCCUGUGCGGAUGACGGUACCGGCAUAAGAAGCACCGGCUAACUACGUG